GAUGAACGCUAGCGGCAGGCUUAACACAUGCAAGUCGAGGGGCAGCACGGGUAGCAAUACCUGGUGGCGACCGGCGCAAGGGUGCGUAACGCGUGAGCAACAUGCCCUAUACAGGGGGAUAAUCCAGGGAAACUUGGUCUAAUAUCCCAUAGUAUUUAGAGGAGGCAUCUUCUAUAAAUUAAAGCUUCGGUGGUAUAGGAUUGGCUCGCGUGACAUUAGCUAGAUGGUGAGGUAACGGCUCACCAUGGCAAUGAUGUCUAGGGGUUCUGAGAGGAAGGCCCCCCACACUGGGACUGAGACACGGCCCAGACUCCUACGGGAGGCAGCAGUGAGGAAUAUUGGACAAUGGAUGGAAGACUGAUCCAGCCAUGCCGCGUGAAGGUUACGGUCCUAUGGAUUUUAAACUUCUUUUGUAUGGAAGCAAUAAGGUGCACGCGUGCAUCGAUGAGAGUACCAUACGAAUAAGCAUCGGCUAACUCCG
This 481-nucleotide ribosomal RNA is filed under the name uncultured bacterium. RNAcentral describes it as "bacterial SSU rRNA". It matches the Rfam family "Bacterial small subunit ribosomal RNA", at positions 28 to 505 of the family's 1533-position model. The record is from RNAcentral.